This 435-nucleotide ribosomal RNA is filed under the name uncultured Streptococcus sp. RNAcentral describes it as "bacterial SSU rRNA". It matches the Rfam family "Bacterial small subunit ribosomal RNA", at positions 945 to 1382 of the family's 1533-position model. The record is from RNAcentral. Lineage: Bacteria; Bacillati; Bacillota; Bacilli; Lactobacillales; Streptococcaceae.
UUUAAUUCGAAGCAACGCGAAGAACCUUUACCAGGUCUUGACAUCCCGAUGCUAUUUCUAGAGAUAGAAAGUUACUUCGGCACAUCGGUGACAGGUGGUGCAUGGUUGUCGUCAGCUCGUGUCGUGAGAUGUUGGGUUAAGUCCCGCAACGAGCGCAACCCCUAUUGUUAGUUGCCAUCAUUCAGUUUGGGCACUCUAGCGAGACUGCCGGUAAUAACCGGAGGAAGUGGGAUGACGUCAAAUCAUCAUGCCCCUUAUGACCUGGGCUACACACGUGCUACAAUGGUUGGUACAACGAGUUGCGAGUCGGUGACGGCGAGCUAAUCUCUUAAAGCCAAUCUCAGUUCGGAUUGUAGGCUGCAACUCGCCUACAUGAAGUCGGAAUCGCUAGUAAUCGCGGAUCAGCACGCCGCGGUGAAUACGUUCCCGGGUCUU